Molecule: non-coding RNA, 140 nt
Organism: Sorex fumeus (smoky shrew)
Lineage: Eukaryota; Metazoa; Chordata; Mammalia; Eulipotyphla; Soricidae
Product: small Cajal body-specific RNA 21
Exons: 1
Source: RefSeq, a predicted model, not a curated record
UGGCUUGAUUUCUUGGUGGGUAGAUUUAGACUCUUCAUCUUCCCUCAGACAAGCCUGAAGCAGAGGCUCUGGGCUUCAUCCCACAUUAGAGACCUGCUCUAGACAGGAACCUCACGCAGGGCGGUCCUUGCCUCACAUUA